UGGUACUCUGCAAGAUCAUCGUGAAUU
RNAcentral lists this non-coding RNA (27 nucleotides) under Mus musculus (house mouse). The record is from RNAcentral. Lineage: Eukaryota; Metazoa; Chordata; Mammalia; Rodentia; Muridae.